Molecule: ribosomal RNA, 1154 nt
Filed under: uncultured Acidovorax sp.
Lineage: Bacteria; Pseudomonadati; Pseudomonadota; Betaproteobacteria; Burkholderiales; Comamonadaceae
Description: bacterial SSU rRNA
Rfam family: Bacterial small subunit ribosomal RNA
Source: RNAcentral
CGAAUUCCAAGCUUAGAGUUUGAUCCUGGCUCAGAUUGAACGCUGGCGGCAUGCCUUACACAUGCAAGUCGAACGGUAACAGGUCUUCGGAUGCUGACGAGUGGCGAACGGGUGAGUAAAACAUCGGAACGUGCCCAAGAGUGGGGGAUAACGAGGCGAAAGCUUUGCUAAUACCGCAUACGAUCUACGGAUGAAAGCGGGGGAUCUUCGGACCUCGCGCUCCUGGAGCGGCCGAUGGCAGGUUAGGUAGUUGGUGGGGUAAGAGCCUACCAAGCCUGCGAUCUGUAGCUGGUCUGAGAGGAUGAUCAGCCACACUGGGACUGAGACACGGCCCAGACUCCUACGGGAGGCAGCAGUGGGGAAUUUUGGACAAUGGGCGCAAGCCUGAUCCAGCCAUGCCGCGUGCAGGAUGAAGGCCUUCGGGUUGUAAACUGCUUUUGUACGGAACGAAAAGCUUCUCUCUAAUACAGGGGGGUGAUGACGGUACCGUAAGAAUAAGCACCGGCUAACUACGUGCCAGCAGCCGCGGUAAUACGUAGGGUGCGAGCGUUAAUCGGAAUUACUGGGCGUAAAGCGUGCGCAGGCGGUUUUGUAAGACAGAGGUGAAAUCCCCGGGCUCAACCUGGGAACUGCCUUUGUGACUGCAAGGCUGGAGUGCGGCAGAGGGGGAUGGAAUUCCGCGUGUAGCAGUGAAAUGCGUAGAUAUGCGGAGGAACACCGAUGGCGAAGGCAAUCCCCUGGGCCUGCACUGACGCUCAUGCACGAAAGCGUGGGGAGCAAACAGGAUUAGAUACCCUGGUAGUCCACGCCCUAAACGAUGUCAACUGGUUGUUGGGGAUUAAUUUCUUCAGUAACGAAGCUAACGCGUGAAGUUGACCGCCUGGGGAGUACGGCCGCAAGGUUGAACUCAAAGGAAUUGACGGGGACCCGCACAAGCGGUGGAUGAUGUGGUUUAAUUCGAUGCAACGCGAAAACCUUACCCACCUUUGACAUGUAUGGAAUCCUGAGAGAUUUGGGAGUGCUCGAAGAGAGCAUAACACAGUGCUGCAUGCUGUCGUCAGCUCGUGUCGUGAGAUGUGGGUAGUCCGCACGAGCGCAACCCUUGCAUAGUGCUACGAAGGGCACUCUAAUGGGACUGCCGGUGACAACGAGAG